UUGUUGGUGGGGUAAUGGCCUACCAAGGCGACGAUCGGUAGCGGGUCUGAGAGGAUGAUCCGCCACACUGGAACUGAGACACGGUCCAGACUCCUACGGGAGGCAGCAGUGGGGAAUUUUGGACAAUGGGGGCAACCCUGAUCCAGCCAUUCCGCGUGAGUGAAGAAGGCCUUCGGGUUGUAAAGCUCUUUCAGCUGGAACGAAACGGUACGCCUUAAUACGGUGUGCUAAUGACGGUACCAGCAGAAGAAGCACCGGCUAACUACGUGCCAGCAGCCGCGGUAAUACGUAGGGUGCGAGCGUUAAUCGGAAUUACUGGGCGUAAAGCGUGCGCAGGCGGAUUGUUAAGCAAGAUGUGAAAUCCCCGGGCUUAACCUGGGAAUGGCAUUUUGAACUGGCAGUCUAGAGUGUGUCAGAGGGGGGUGGAAUUCCACGUGUAGCAGUGAAAUGCGUAGAUAUGUGGAGGAACACCAAUGGCGAAGGCAGCCCCCUGGGAUAACACUGACGCUCAUGUACGAAAGCGUGGGUAGCAAACAGGAUUAGAUACCCUGGUAGUCCACGCCCUAAACGAUGUCAACUGGUUGUUGGGGGAGUGAAAUCCCUUAGUAACGAAGCUAACGCGUGAAGUUGACCGCCUGGGGAGUACGGUCGCAAGAUUAAAACUCAAAGGAAUUGACGGGGACCCGCACAAGCGGUGGAUGAUGUGGAUUAAUUCGAUGCAACGCGAAAAACCUUACCUACCCUUGACAUGUCCAGAAUCCUGCAGAGAUGCGGGAGUGCCCGAAAGGGAAUUGGAACACAGGUGCUGCAUGGCUGUCGUCAGCUCGUGUCGUGAGAUGUUGGGUUAAGUCCCGCAACGAGCGCAACCCUUAUCAUUAGUUGCUACGCAAGGGCACUCUAAUGAGACUGCCGG
This 913-nucleotide ribosomal RNA is filed under the name uncultured bacterium. RNAcentral describes it as "bacterial SSU rRNA". It matches the Rfam family "Bacterial small subunit ribosomal RNA", at positions 246 to 1155 of the family's 1533-position model. The record is from RNAcentral.